Molecule: long non-coding RNA, 580 nt
Organism: Bombyx mori (domestic silkworm)
Lineage: Eukaryota; Metazoa; Arthropoda; Insecta; Lepidoptera; Bombycidae
Exons: 3
Source: RefSeq, a predicted model, not a curated record
GUAUUCAGCUCACUGUGCGGAUGUUCUGCUCGUAAAUACUAGCCCGUUUCGUUUUUCCGCUUCCGCCCUAGUGUUGCCAUUACUUAACUGUUUCACGUCUUAUUCAAACUACAUGUAUAUUCAUUUAAUUGGAAGUUAUGCACGUGUGAUUCAGACUUUAUUUAUAGCCUAUAAAAAGGCCUGAACGUUGUUUAGCUUAUCGCCUUAUCAAUUUGAAAUACGACCGUCUGCGGAAUAAGUCUAUUGUCGUGGGUACUUCAGGGACUGUUCUGUUUAGAAUACCGUUAACGUACAAUACCAUCAAUGGAAGAAGGGAAGACCUGCAGCAGAAGCCACACAGCCAGCCAGCACAUAUUGGCAAUCCAGCAAAACCGUCACCCCUGCUUUGUUAGGGAGCCUACGCCCGGGCAGAGGGGGUUGCCUCGAGGCCUGAUCCACGCUCCUGCCAAGUUUGCUCGGGUGCUGAGCGUCAUCUAAGAGCAGGGAAUUUGCACGUACUCCUCGUCUCAUCUUGGCACGUAAUCCACUUGAUGCCUAUUUUACUGUCGGCCAGGGUCUGAAUACCGAGCUGCAUCACGCC